AAAGGAGCUUCGGCUCCCCAGUAAACCGGCGCACGGGUGAGUAACACGUAGGUAACGUACCUUGGAGUCCGGGAUAACCAGUCGAAAGACUAGCUAAUUCCGGAUACGACUAUGAAGGCUCCGGCUUUUGUAGUGAAAGAUGGCCUCUGUUUACAUGCUGUCACUCCUUGAUCGGCCUGCGCACCAUUAGCUAGUUGGUGAGGUAAUGGCUCACCAAGGCUGAGAUGGUUAGCUGGUCUGAGAGGAUGGCCAGCCACACUGGGACUGAGACACGGCCCAGACUCCUACGGGAGGCAGCAGUGGGGAAUAUUGCGCAAUGGGCGAAAGCCUGACGCAGCGACGCCGCGUGGGUGAUGAAGGCCUUCGGG
Molecule: ribosomal RNA, 368 nt
Filed under: uncultured bacterium
Lineage: Bacteria
Description: bacterial SSU rRNA
Rfam family: Bacterial small subunit ribosomal RNA
Source: RNAcentral